ACGUUCCCGGUCAGCUGUGCAGCUGGCUCGGCGUGCCCCGUAGGUCCCCAGCUGCCCCACGCGGGACCCCCAAAUCCAGAGAAGCCAGGCCCUGCGUCUGCCGACAGCGACCUCUGAACCCCGCUGCCCCGGGAGGUCGAAGCGCAAGGGAAUCGGGAACCGCGUCCGGGGAGCAACCGGGGGACACCCCAGCCGCACUGGGAGCCCUCCAGAAGUGCCUCCUGGAAAGAAGCCCUGUCACCCAACCACCAAAAGAGGGAGUCUUCUGCAGGAUGACAUCUGUCUCUGACAGGUCAGAUGCCUUUGCCUAGCCAUAUCAAGACAUACUGACCCAGUCUGCAGGCCAUGAGAAAAAGCUUCCUGGUCCGCACUGGAAGAGCACAUGCAACGAGAGACAAUAAAGCUCAGAGUGAGCAAAUGAGAAGGAAGCACAGCCAGAAGGAAGAGACCUGAAGCUCGGUGCAAGGCCCUGCAGAGCCUGAGGGCUGCUUCUGAGAAAAGCAUCCUAAGACCAGGAAGCCACAGGGACUCUUGAGCCUCCAGGUAGUGAGCCUUUCCCUAAUGCCCACCCAGAGUCCUAGAUGUGCAGACCACAGGAACCGACAUCUGUGUGCAGCACCGAGACAGGGACGAGAGACUUCUCUGUACAGGAAACAACCCAAGCCCCACUGGAUGGCACAGGUCACAGAAGACACA
Long non-coding RNA from Jaculus jaculus (lesser Egyptian jerboa), 696 nucleotides. RefSeq lists it as uncharacterized. The transcript has 3 exons. The record is from RefSeq and is a predicted model, not a curated record. NCBI's taxonomy places the organism in Eukaryota, Metazoa, Chordata, Mammalia, Rodentia, Dipodidae.